RNAcentral lists this transfer RNA (76 nucleotides) under Clostridium sp. CAG:508. RNAcentral describes it as "transfer RNA-Lys(CTT)". It matches the Rfam family "tRNA". Rfam says of the family: Transfer RNA (tRNA) molecules are approximately 80 nucleotides in length. Their secondary structure includes four short double-helical elements and three loops (D, anti-codon, and T loops). The record is from RNAcentral. RNAcentral also lists the same sequence under 3 other names. Lineage: Bacteria; Bacillati; Bacillota; Clostridia; Eubacteriales; Clostridiaceae.
GCGUCAUUAGCUCAGUUGGUAGAGCAGCAGACUCUUAAUCUGAUGGUCGGAGGUUCGACUCCUCUAUGACGCACCA